Molecule: ribosomal RNA, 315 nt
Filed under: uncultured eukaryote
Lineage: Eukaryota
Description: partial 18S ribosomal RNA
Rfam family: Eukaryotic small subunit ribosomal RNA
Source: RNAcentral
CCCUUAGAUGUUCUGGGCCGCACGCGCGCUACACUGACUGGUGCAACAAGUGUCGCUCCUUGGCCGAUAGGCCUGGGCAAUCUUUGAACGCCAGUCGUGAUGGGGAUAGAUUCUUGCAAUUUUUGAUCUUCAACGAGGAAUUCCUAGUAAACGCGAGUCAUCAACUCGCAUUGAUUACGUCCCUGCCCUUUGUACACACCGCCCGUCGCACCUACCGAUUGAAUGGUCCGGUGAACCCUCCGGAUCGGCUCGCGCCUCGGUGCCGCCGAGAAGUUGGCUAAACCUUACCAUUUAGAGGAAGGUGAAGUCGUAACA